GCCGCAGACAUGUCCCUUUGCACCUUGAAACCUGGUUUCCUCCUGCUGACUUCCUGACAGCCGCCCAGCUGGCCUGAGCCAAGCACAGGGCCGCAGAGGGGCUUGUUUCCAGAAUCCUUUGGGUGGUUCCUGAACCCUCCUGCCCAGCUGUCCCCCAACACAAACGCACAGAGACACUGGGACGCACGCACGCACGCACAGGACCCGCAGGCGGAGGCGGGUGGCCGGAGGGAUUAGAGGGAUAAAGUCACUGUCAUUCGGGAGAGAUAAGAAUCUGGGCAGGACGUGUCUGUACUGGGGUCUUCUGAAAGUAGGCUCAGCAUCUGCGGCUCCUCACAUCGGCCCUCAGGUGAUGCGGGGUUGAUUUACCUUGGUUUGUUAGCUCUGAAAGCCCCGGGCUGUAAAAAGGUUUGGGUUAGGAAUUAGACUUUGAUUCUUUAGGGCUUUCUUAACCCUGCUCUGCAACACCUUCUGGUGUCUGGAGAAGAGGUAGAUUGCAGGACUCAUAAAAACUUUGAAGUUGCUCUUCAAGGAAACAGAUUUUUAAACUUGUGAGUCUUCAGAGAGAGAGAGAGAGAGAGAAAUAAACUCUCUUAAUUUGAAUUUGGAUUUAUUUUUCACUAUACAUAUAUACAUUUAAGAGAAUUAAUAGCGGCUGAUGUCACUCAUUAAUUUGUCCGGCAGGUAUGACGUUGUUCAAAUGUAAAACUAAGUUUAUUGCACAGUUUCAAGGACUAUUGACCGCUUUGGUGUAUGUUUUUUCACGUGCUUCUCAGGUCGCAUUAUUGCAAGUGUUUGUUGUGGGUCUUGCCUAUCUGACCAUAGACAGGUCCCAGUAUGUUCCUUUUUCAUUACUGGUGAUUCAGUUAUGCACAGCCUGUCUUCCUUCUGGGGCCUCUAGCAUUAGUCUCUGGUGAGAAGAAAAAAGUAGGUGCAUUUAGGAGCAAGGAGAAAUGGUUUAGUUCCUCCCCCCAUUAAAGUUUUCAUAUAUUGUUAAUUUCAGACCUCAAGCAUUGUUUGCCACCUGUCAGACUCAUUCAGAAGUGUAGGGAUUAACUAAUAAAAGAUUUGUAAAUGCUUCCUGAAUCUAAAAUUUCACGAAUAUGCUAAAUAGUAAUAAUCCACCCAUUGUUAAAUUUAUGUAGCUGCUUCUGCCAUGCAUACAAGAUGAUUUAGAUGCAUGUUUCCUGUCAAUUAAACAAUGAGUUUGGAGUGAAAUAAUGAGUUCAAUUCACAGCCUCUGAAACUUUGAAAUAAAAUUUCUCCCAUAAGGCAGCAUCGGCAGAGAAUCAUAAAGUAAGCAGCAUUUCAAAAAGCUAUAUAAGGAAUGGCAAUUACCUUAUGGUUGGGGGGAAAGGGACCAAUGAACUUCUGAAACCAAGAAAUAUUCAUUCUUGAUUCAUGUGUGCCUGAACCAUUAACAUCCCCUAACAUUUGGGGUAAGUAAGCCUAUGGGGAGGGCAGGCAGGUUUGUGGAACAACCUAAUAGUUGUCCAUUUUAAUCCAUGAAAUAUGCUGCUUGGUAUUUCAAGGCGGAAGUUCAUUUUGUGGUUUCGUUCAUAGACAGUGAAAAAAAG
This 1577-nucleotide long non-coding RNA is filed under the name Marmota monax (woodchuck). The record is from RNAcentral. Lineage: Eukaryota; Metazoa; Chordata; Mammalia; Rodentia; Sciuridae.